RNAcentral lists this ribosomal RNA (253 nucleotides) under uncultured bacterium. RNAcentral describes it as "partial 16S ribosomal RNA". It matches the Rfam family "Bacterial small subunit ribosomal RNA", at positions 524 to 776 of the family's 1533-position model. The record is from RNAcentral.
UACGUAGGGCGCGAGCGUUGUCCGGAAUUAUUGGGCGUAAAGAGCUCGUAGGCGGUCUGUUGCGUCGGCUGUGAAAACCCGGGGCUCAACUCCGGGCCUGCAGCCGAUACGGGCAGACUAGAGUUCGGCAGGGGAGACUGGAAUUCCUGGUGUAGCGGUGAAAUGCGCAGAUAUCAGGAGGAACACCGGUGGCGAAGGCGGGUCUCUGGGACGGUACUGACGCUGAGACGCGAAAGCGUGGGGAGCGAACAGG